This 551-nucleotide ribosomal RNA is filed under the name Colletotrichum gloeosporioides. Its description in RNAcentral is "eukaryotic LSU rRNA". The stretch from base 178 to 331 matches the Rfam family "5.8S ribosomal RNA". The record is from RNAcentral. Lineage: Eukaryota; Fungi; Ascomycota; Sordariomycetes; Glomerellales; Glomerellaceae.
GGGGUUUCUGGGCUUCGCUCUACACCCUUUGUGAACAUACCUAUAACUGUUGCUUCGGCGGGCAGGGUCUCCGUGACCCUCCCGGCCUCCCGCCCCCGGGCGGGUCGGCGCCCGCCGGAGGAUAACCAAACUCUGAUUUAACGACGUUUCUUCUGAGUGGUACAAGCAAAUAAUCAAAACUUUUAACAACGGAUCUCUUGGUUCUGGCAUCGAUGAAGAACGCAGCGAAAUGCGAUAAGUAAUGUGAAUUGCAGAAUUCAGUGAAUCAUCGAAUCUUUGAACGCACAUUGCGCCCGCCAGCAUUCUGGCGGGCAUGCCUGUUCGAGCGUCAUUUCAACCCUCAAGCUCUGCUUGGUGUUGGGGCCCUACAGCUGAUGUAGGCCCUCAAAGGUAGUGGCGGACCCUCCCGGAGCCUCCUUUGCGUAGUAACUUUACGUCUCGCACUGGGAUCCGGAGGGACUCUUGCCGUAAAACCCCCAAUUUUCCAAAGGUUGACCUCGGAUCAGGUAGGAAUACCCGCUGAACUUAAGCAUAUCAAUAAGCCGGAGGAA